This 1130-nucleotide long non-coding RNA is filed under the name Phascolarctos cinereus (koala). Its description in RNAcentral is "lncRNA (ENSPCIG00000028948.2)". The record is from RNAcentral. Lineage: Eukaryota; Metazoa; Chordata; Mammalia; Diprotodontia; Phascolarctidae.
CUUACACGCACGCACGCAACCCUCAGGCGGACGUACGUACGCACGUAAGCACGUGCACACGCACUCGCUGGCAGGCUCCCUACGCCCACCUUCCUCCAGGCGCAUGCGCGGCGUACGUACGCGCAAGCGCAGCUCUCGGAGACGCUGCUGGGCGGGAGCUUUGGUGUGUCAGGCGGCCAAUGGCUUUACCUGGAGCGGCGGCUGCUCGUGGGCCUAGGCUGAGGCUGAUGCGGAAAAAGCCGCCCGCGCCCCCCUCUUCCUCUUGCUCCGGGGCAGGCGGCGGGGGGCAGGAGGGCAGAACUUCAAACAUCCCCUCUUGGUUGGACCAAGAAGGGUUAAAUGAGUCUGAUGAAUUGUGGAGGCUGCUGGUAUUGAGAAGUGUGAACUCCAGUCUGCAUGAGGCCAGCCAGGAAAUGCCAGAUUUACCAGCAUUCUUUGACAAGAACACCAGGAAUGAUAAGAGCUCACAGCAACCAGCCCUCUUUAAAGUGGGGACAGAAGAGUUUCAGUGGACACCUUUCCCCCCUGCCUUCACAUUUGUUGGUCAGUUCAAAAACCCAGACUCUUCUCAUUUCACAAAAGGGAAACCUGCUCUGAUCCUCCAUGAACAAGCGCAGGGAGUGGGCCAGAGCAGCGGGCCUUCCUCCUGGGGGCCCUCUGCUGGGGGCCGCGAGAACCUGGAGCCAAGGCGUGACCAUGGAACUGGGGUGAAAAGGCCUUUGGAACGAAGGGACAGUGGCAUCGAGGCUUCGAAGAGCAGACUUCCACAGCGCAGGAAGAAACAGAGACUUUGGGGGGAGGGCGACGCCUCCUCCCCAGCAUCUCCCCAGACCCUCACCUCAGGGGUGAGCCGUCCAGGGUACUCUUCCUCUGAAGAGCCCAGGCACAGCCUUUGCUCAGAGGGUGCCAGAGUGGAAAAAGAUGCCGCCUCUGCUGCCGUGAGCCAGGGAAUAGUGGCACUUGAUAGCUGUCCGAUGUGCCAGGUCCCAUUUACUGGAAAGUUCUCCCAGCUGGAUAUUGAUAGCCAUCUUGCUAAAUGCUUGUCAGAGAGUAUUGAAGAUGUGACGUGUGCAUCAAGUCCUAACCCAAGGAAGGUUAGCUGUGAAUCGAGAACAAAAAAAAAAAGGUAA